Molecule: ribosomal RNA, 678 nt
Filed under: Staphylococcus aureus
Lineage: Bacteria; Bacillati; Bacillota; Bacilli; Caryophanales; Staphylococcaceae
Description: bacterial SSU rRNA
Rfam family: Bacterial small subunit ribosomal RNA
Source: RNAcentral
GGUCUUGCUGUCACUUAUAGAUGGAUCCGCGCUGCAUUAGCUAGUUGGUAAGGUAACGGCUUACCAAGGCAACGAUGCAUAGCCGACCUGAGAGGGUGAUCGGCCACACUGGAACUGAGACACGGUCCAGACUCCUACGGGAGGCAGCAGUAGGGAAUCUUCCGCAAUGGGCGAAAGCCUGACGGAGCAACGCCGCGUGAGUGAUGAAGGUCUUCGGAUCGUAAAACUCUGUUAUUAGGGAAGAACAUAUGUGUAAGUAACUGUGCACAUCUUGACGGUACCUAAUCAGAAAGCCACGGCUAACUACGUGCCAGCAGCCGCGGUAAUACGUAGGUGGCAAGCGUUAUCCGGAAUUAUUGGGCGUAAAGCGCGCGUAGGCGGUUUUUUAAGUCUGAUGUGAAAGCCCACGGCUCAACCGUGGAGGGUCAUUGGAAACUGGAAAACUUGAGUGCAGAAGAGGAAAGUGGAAUUCCAUGUGUAGCGGUGAAAUGCGCAGAGAUAUGGAGGAACACCAGUGGCGAAGGCGACUUUCUGGUCUGUAACUGACGCUGAUGUGCGAAAGCGUGGGGAUCAAACAGGAUUAGAUACCCUGGUAGUCCACGCCGUAAACGAUGAGUGCUAAGUGUUAGGGGGUUUCCGCCCCUUAGUGCUGCAGCUAACGCAUUAAGCACUCCGCCU